This 416-nucleotide ribosomal RNA is filed under the name bacterium enrichment culture clone ALO1_GLFRUDD03FUXRY. RNAcentral's name for it is "bacterial SSU rRNA". It matches the Rfam family "Bacterial small subunit ribosomal RNA", at positions 9 to 428 of the family's 1533-position model. The record is from RNAcentral.
GAGUUUGAUCUUGGCUCAGAUUGAACGCUGGCGGCAUGCCUUACACAUGCAAGUCGAACGGCAGCACGGGAGCUUGCUCCUGGUGGCGAGUGGCGAACGGGUGAGUAAUGCAUCAGAACGUAUCCUGGAGUGGGGGAUAACGUAGCGAAAGUUACGCUAAUACCGCAUAUUCUGUGAGCAGGAAAGCGGGGGACCUUCGGGCCUCGCGCUCUUGGAGCGGCCGAUGUCGGAUUAGCUAGUUGGUGAGGUAAAGGCUCACCAAGGCGACGAUCCGUAGCAGGUCUGAGAGGAUGAUCUGCCACACUGGAACUGAGACACGGUCCAGACUCCUACGGAGGCAGCAGUGGGGAAUUUUGGACAAUGGGGGCAACCCUGAUCCAGCCAUGCCGCGUGAGUGAAGAAGGCCUCGGUUGUAA